This 31-nucleotide non-coding RNA is filed under the name Mus musculus (house mouse). Lineage: Eukaryota; Metazoa; Chordata; Mammalia; Rodentia; Muridae. The record is from RNAcentral.
UCUCUCAAAAGAACACCCAGGUGUGUUUCCA